GAUGAUUCCUGUUGGAAAACCCAGUGGUGUCGUCUAGGUGAUACGCAGGUAUACGCAGUAUACCCUCUAAGAAAGCCCCAGGAUUUCCAUGUACUCAUUUAUAAAUGCCCAAUGAAACGCAACAACUUACUUUCAUUAUAGUUUUGAUAAAUGUUGAAAUGUCAUCUGUGUUUUAGUGUUUUUUCCUUCACAAAAGGCUAAAUAAAAGUAUUUCCACCAGAAAUUGGUGCAUAACAGUGUAUCCGAAUGAAGUCGUUGAUGCUCAAAACUUCCCUGGG
Molecule: long non-coding RNA, 278 nt
Organism: Etheostoma cragini (Arkansas darter)
Lineage: Eukaryota; Metazoa; Chordata; Actinopteri; Perciformes; Percidae
Exons: 4
Source: RefSeq, a predicted model, not a curated record